RNAcentral lists this ribosomal RNA (813 nucleotides) under uncultured bacterium. RNAcentral's name for it is "bacterial SSU rRNA". It matches the Rfam family "Bacterial small subunit ribosomal RNA", at positions 58 to 916 of the family's 1533-position model. The record is from RNAcentral.
CAAGUCGAACGGGUCCGCAAGGACCAGUGGCGGAAGGGUGAGUAAUACGAUCCUACGUACCUCGAGGUAGUGGAUAGCCGUGGGAAACUGCGGGUAAUACACUAUGAUCUCUCCGGAGCAAAGAUUUAUCGCCUUGAGAUCGGGGAUCGUCCUAUCAGGUAGUUGGUAGGGUAAUGGCCUACCAAGCCUAAGACGGGUAGCAGGUGUGAGAGCACGGCCUGCCACAUCGGGACUGAGACACUGCCCGGACUCCUACGGGAGGCUGCAGCGACGAAUCUUCCGCAAUGGGCGCAAGCCUGACGGAGCGACGCCGCGUGCGGGAUGAAGCGCCUUUGGCGUGUAAACCGCUGUCAGGGAAUAGAAACCAUGAUCUUUCCCAGAGGAAGGGGCGACUAACUCUGUGCCAGCAGUCGCGGUAAGACAGAGGCCCCGAGCGUUAGUCGGAAUCACUGGGCUUAAAGGGUGCGUAGGCGGAUCGAUAAGUGUUGUGUGAAAGCCCACUGCUCAACGGUGGAACCGCACAGCAAACUGUCGGUCUUGAGGAAUCUAGAGGUCGCUAGAACGGUUGGUGGAGCGGUGGAAUGCGUAGAUAUCAACCGGAAUGCCGAAGGUGAAGACAGGCGACUGGGGAUUUCCUGACGCUGAGGCACGAAAGCGUGGGGAGCAAACAGGAUUAGAUACCCUGGUAGUCCACGCCCUAAAUGAUGUACGCUUGAUUACGACGGCUCUGACGCCGCCGGGAUCGUAGAGAAAUUGCUAAGCGUACCGCCUGGGGAGUACGGUCGCAAGACUAAAACUCAAAGAAAUUGACGG